This 76-nucleotide transfer RNA is filed under the name Ictidomys tridecemlineatus (thirteen-lined ground squirrel). Its description in RNAcentral is "Spermophilus tridecemlineatus (thirteen-lined ground squirrel) tRNA". It matches the Rfam family "tRNA". Rfam says of the family: Transfer RNA (tRNA) molecules are approximately 80 nucleotides in length. Their secondary structure includes four short double-helical elements and three loops (D, anti-codon, and T loops). The record is from Rfam by way of RNAcentral. Lineage: Eukaryota; Metazoa; Chordata; Mammalia; Rodentia; Sciuridae.
GGGGUUGUAGCUCAGUGGUAGAGUGCUUGCCUUGUAGGCAUGAGGCUCUCCCUGGGUUUGAUCCUCAGCAUCACAU